Molecule: long non-coding RNA, 257 nt
Organism: Coccinella septempunctata (seven-spotted ladybird)
Lineage: Eukaryota; Metazoa; Arthropoda; Insecta; Coleoptera; Coccinellidae
Exons: 2
Source: RefSeq, a predicted model, not a curated record
AAAAAUCUCAGUCGUAUUUAUAUGCCCCUACUGAAGCGACCACAAAAUUAAAGAAGAAUAACAACAAUCAUAAAGAACACACAGUGACAUGAAAUUGACAAUACGGGCUCAACAACACCUAAUCAACCAAGAUGACAAUAAAUGUUUUAAGUCCAUUAUGAUGUAUUUUACACUGAAGAAGGCGGAUGCGCCGAAACGUUUGUACGAAUAAAUUAUUUCACGUUUUUCAACUAUAACCUAGACACCCAACAAAUAAA